GCUGGGCACAGUGGUGCAUGCUUGUAAUCCAGUGACUCAGGAGGCUGAGGCAGGGGGAUCAUAAGUUCCAGGCCAGCCUCAGCAACUUAGUGAGUUCCUGUUUCAA
This 106-nucleotide small RNA is filed under the name Marmota monax (woodchuck). Lineage: Eukaryota; Metazoa; Chordata; Mammalia; Rodentia; Sciuridae. The record is from RNAcentral.